GACGAACGCUGGCGGCGUGCUUAACACAUGCAAGUCGAACGGUGAUGCUCCAGCUUGCUGGAGUGGAUCAGUGGCGAACGGGUGAGUAACACGUGAGCAACCUGCCCCAGACUCUGGAAUAAGCGCUGGAAACGGCGUCUAAUACUGGAUACGAAACUGGCCCGCAUGGGCAUGGUUUGGAAAGUUUUUCGGUUUGGGAUGGGCUCGCGGCCUAUCAGCUUGUUGGUGAGGUAAUGGCUCACCAAGGCGACGACGGGUAGCCGGCCUGAGAGGGCGACCGGCGACAAUGGGACUGAGACACGGACCAGAAGCCUACGGGAGGCAGCAGUGGGGAAUAUUGCACAAUGGGCGAAAGCCUGAUGCAGCGACGCCGCGUGAGGGAUGACGGCCUUCGGGUUGUAAACCUCUUUCAGCAGGGAAGAAGCGAAAGUGACGGUACCUGCAGAAGAAGCACCGGCUAACUACGUG
RNAcentral lists this ribosomal RNA (468 nucleotides) under uncultured bacterium. RNAcentral's name for it is "partial 16S ribosomal RNA". It matches the Rfam family "Bacterial small subunit ribosomal RNA", at positions 28 to 507 of the family's 1533-position model. The record is from RNAcentral.